AUGGACGGGCGGAGGCGCACGGGGAAGAAGACUGACGAGGUCCCAUACGGGCGGCUUCACGGAUCCAUCGGGGACGAACGGGUGACGGCGCGCACAACUGGACGACGGCAGGGCUCCGAUGAAGAGAUGAAGCAGGGAGGUCGCGGAGGUGAGGAUCCACGGCGGCUGCGAGCUUGCCGGCGGGGACGAGCGCAACUCCUCGGGGCUUUCCUGCGAGACGAGACAGAGCCGAGAGAGGGAUUUGAGAGAGAGAGAGAGAGAGAGAGAGAGAGAGAGAGAGAGAAAAGUAGGAGAGGAAGGGAAGAGACGACACCGGGAAGGAGAGGGGCGGCGCUUAUCUGA
RNAcentral lists this ribosomal RNA (342 nucleotides) under Triticum aestivum (bread wheat). RNAcentral's name for it is "partial small subunit ribosomal RNA". Lineage: Eukaryota; Viridiplantae; Streptophyta; Magnoliopsida; Poales; Poaceae. The record is from RNAcentral.